Asterias rubens (European starfish) is the source of this 591-nucleotide long non-coding RNA. RefSeq lists it as uncharacterized. Lineage: Eukaryota; Metazoa; Echinodermata; Asteroidea; Forcipulatida; Asteriidae. The record is from RefSeq and is a predicted model, not a curated record. The transcript is spliced from 3 exons.
GUCUUCCACCGAGGCUUCAUUUUCAGCGGUGUGAUGGGCAUAUUAAGAAGCUCACCAAACAACCGUGCACGUCGUUCGUUCGAUAGAGUUUGUUUGAAACAUCGCGAUGGCUGCUUACUCCUUUUUUCGGACUACAGUGUUUGCAUCUCUGGGAGUUGGCUGUUGGCUGCUGCCUGCGCAGAUAAUGAAAGCCUAACAACUUGGAACCUGUCUAGAAAUUCACUGCAGGCUGUCCGUGUGACUGUAAAUGUUUUGCUAUCUAGAAACUAAAAACUUCACUCCAACUACGGUUGUUCAUCCAUGUGAAUGUAACUAUCAUCAAUGGGUUAGUGUUAUAAGUUAAUCCCAUAUCUACUAACUUUGAACCUUAGUUUGUUUCAUCAAGCGAAACUUGCCCCGUGCACUGAGAUCUCUCUGUUGUGUUUUUACCUGAUCCAAUCCUCGGACAUUUGCAGGUAAAAUAAUUUGUUAUAAGUUUUAAAUUGUUCCAAAGCUGAUUUUGUGUCAUUCAUUAAAUUUAACCAAAGUUUAAUGAAUUGUUGUCCCCUGGAAUCCUUUUUAGUUGAUUUUGUUUUUAAGUGAGUCAGAACA